Molecule: long non-coding RNA, 154 nt
Organism: Hippocampus comes (tiger tail seahorse)
Lineage: Eukaryota; Metazoa; Chordata; Actinopteri; Syngnathiformes; Syngnathidae
Exons: 2
Source: RefSeq, a predicted model, not a curated record
CGAAGUACCUGUUCCGACUCUACAUGGCACUGCAGCAGUACAGGGAAGCCGCUCGCACUGCCAUCAUCAUCGCUAGGGAAGAGCAGAAUGCUGGUAACUACCGUAGCUCCCACAAUGUGCUGUUCAGCAUGUACACACAACUGCAGGCCCACAA